GACGAACGCUGGCGGCGUGCCUAAUACAUGCAAGUAGAACGCACAGUUUAUACCGUAGCUUGCUACACCAUAGACUGUGAGUUGCGAACGGGUGAGUAACGCGUAGGUAACCUGCCUGGUAGCGGGGGAUAACUAUUGGAAACGAUAGCUAAUACCGCAUAAUAUUAAUUAUUGCAUGAUAAUUAAUUGAAAGGCGCAAUUGCACCACUACCAGAUGGACCUGCGUUGUAUUAGCUAGUAGGUGAGGUAACGGCUCACCUAGGCGACGAUACAUAGCCGACCUGAGAGGGUGAUCGGCCACACUGGGACUGAGACACGGCCCAGACUCCUACGGGAGGCAGCAGUAGGGAAUCUUCGGCAAUAGACGAAAGUCUGACCGAGCAACGCCGCGUGAGUGAAGAAGGUUGUCGGAUCGUAAAGCUCUGUUGUAAGAGAAGAACGGGUGUGAGAGUGGAAAGUUCACACUGUGACGGUAUCUUACCAGAAAGGGACGGCUAACUACGUG
RNAcentral lists this ribosomal RNA (505 nucleotides) under uncultured bacterium. Its description in RNAcentral is "partial 16S ribosomal RNA". It matches the Rfam family "Bacterial small subunit ribosomal RNA", at positions 28 to 507 of the family's 1533-position model. The record is from RNAcentral.